Molecule: RNA transcript, 5912 nt
Organism: Scophthalmus maximus (turbot)
Lineage: Eukaryota; Metazoa; Chordata; Actinopteri; Pleuronectiformes; Scophthalmidae
Gene: focad
Gene name: focadhesin
Exons: 45
Source: RefSeq, a predicted model, not a curated record
GUGACGGGCCGACUGGUCUUUCUUCAGUUUUGGUCCUCGGUGCGCGCCGUAGUCACACGUUGGAUCGCGGGCGGCUGAGUGGAUGAGGUGUGACUGGCAGUCGUGAUGGAGAGUUUGAAGACCCGAUUUGAUUUUCCCAGCUCCGUCAUACAAGCCCAGACAGUGAGAACUCUUGUUGCUGCCGUACUAAAGGAGAAAGGACAAAAUGGGCGAAUCACGCAGUCGUCCCCUCAGGGCCCAGCGUUGGAGGCUCUGUGGCAGCAAUGCUGCAGUGACUCCGCUCUGGUGCGUUCAGCCUGCUGUGAUGCCGUGGUGCUGCUGGUGGAUCAGGGCCACACAGAGCUGCACUACAUCCUCUACAGUGUGCUCAACCUCCUGCCCUCUGCCAGACAUGUCCAGGGGCUUAUAAAAGUCAUUGGACGGCUGCUACAGAUGCAGGCAGACCAGAGAGACCGAGAAUCACACUUCACCUGUCCUUACUCCAUCAGGAACAGCCCUCACCCAUUCAUCACAGCCCUGGAGAACCGAGUGGACUGCUGGCCAGCUCUGCUGCUGGAGAUUGAUGAUUUCAUCGUGCAGGCUGCUGACAGGAAUGAGCCUGCCUACAUCACCAUGCUGGCCCCCUUCCUGCAGUAUCUGUACUGUGAACCUCAGCAGCAACCCCAGCACGCCCUCCUCCGACACAAUCUCCUCCGCGUGCUGCUGCCCACACACCCAGGGGCUGCGUCAGCCCUCCAGGAUAAGGAUGAGGAGAAGCCCUCCACAGUGUCCGACAGCCUGCUGCACUGCCUCUGCCAGUUGGUUCCACACAUGCAGGUGGACAGCGUGGAGGCGGUGCUGGAGCUGUGUGGAUUCAUCGACGCCCUGCUUCAUGGUCUUCUUCGGGGCUCGGAGGAGCAGUGGAGGACUGAGAGAGCCCGGCUGCUUCUGCAGCUGCUGUGUGCCUGUCAGCGCUGCCUCAGGUUAAACGGAGACUGCCGGCCGCUUCUCAAGUUAUUACAGCAGCUCCUGCCUGCCUGCCAACAGGAGCUGCCGGUGGACGAGCUGAUGAUGGGUUUGGCCCUGCUCCUGCUAGAGGCCCCUGCAGCUCAGCAGACCAGCCUGCUCAGUCUGGCGCUGAGUUUGGCUCCUGAGCAGGCUGAGCUAUCGCCCUGGUUGAGUCCAGUCCUGGUCCUUCCUGUGCUGCAGCUGCUGUCCUGUUCGGACCUCACUGAGCCUCUGGCCGACCGGAGAACACACAGCCUCAACCAGAGCCUCGCCCACAGCCUGCUCCGCAGCAUCAGCCGGCAGACCUAUAAACCUCGACAGCCCGGUCCACCAUUAGCUCUUCCUCUCAGUUCCUGGCACAGUGAGGUCAGCGUGGCUCUGUCCGUACUGCGCAGAGUUGCAGACGAUCCAGCGGCAGCCACUGAUUGGCUGCUGUCGGUUCGCUCGGCGGAAUCAUGCAGCCAGCGCCUGCCUGGCUCCCUCACCCUCAUUGUGACCUAUCUCAUCAUUACUGGUGAGGAAGACGUCUGCCAGCUGGCUUUGGAUGCAAGCCAGGCCUUCGCUGCAGCCGACCCCUGCCAGGUCCCCUCCCUCAUCCCCGUUCUGUUGUUCAAACUGGGGAAGGAAAAGAAUCCAAAACUGGCUCAUGCUGUGCUCAACUGCCUGCCAAACCUCGGCACUCAUAAGCUUUGUGUCCCCAUGGUGCUGCAGACUCUCUACAUGCUGGCCAGCGCCCCCAAGCUGAGAGCUGUGGUAAUGCGCCUCACGACUGCUCUCUGGAAGAAACAGGACCGAGUUUACCCGGAGCUGCAGCGUCUGCUGAGUCAGCAGGACAACAGGGUGGUGGUGGGGAGGGACUCCCAGUGGGAGCAGAUCCUGGCCAGAGCAGCCUGUCUCAGGGACAUCUGCAGAGAGAGGCCUUACCAGCAUGGAGGUGAUAUGUUGGCUGCUAUUACACAAACUUUGAACCAGUGCACCAGACCAGACAUGGCAACCCCAGCUGCCCUCGCCCUACAAGGACUACAGGAGCUGUGCCGGGCAGAGGUAGUGGACAUCAUCUCAACAUGGAGGCUUCUUGGGCCUGAGCUCAGCUGUGAAUCCCGUCCACUGAUGGUCAAAGCUGUAGCUGAGCUUCUGGCUCUGGUUCCCCGGCUCACUGCAAAGUCGGAGGGGUAUGAGAAACUGAAAGAGGAGGUGGUCAGCUUUCUCUGGAAUUAUGCCCUGAGCAAGCAGGAUCCAGAGGUGGCCAGCUGUGGCUACAGGGCUUUGGCAGAUUUUCCUGAGGCAGCCCACACAAUAACUCUUCUUCCUGAGGCAGCCAGGCCAGCUUCGAAGCUCCCUGAAGAUGAGGGGGAGGAGGAAAAGGGGGAGGAGAAAGAGGAAGAGGAGAAGGAUCUCUCCAUUCCAGGAUCUUCUUACGUGAAGCUGAUGGCUCUCACCCAUGUCUCUGUUCUCCCAGCGUUUGAGCUCUUCUUGACGUCACUGGUGAAGCAGGAGAUGAGCCAGAUGCCACGUGGGGUGUACUUCUCUGCCCUGAGGGGGGGGAACCUGCGUUCAGACCAGGGUAAAACAGUGGCAGGAAUCCCAACAUUCAUGCUGAGGAGCUACGAGAAAAACAAGCAGCCUGGGCUGAAGCCUGGACUAGCAGCUGGACUGCUGCUCAGUUAUGAGUUGCCUGUGCAGUCCGACCGCAACGGCAAACCGAUUGAUCGCUUCCUCAUCAGCCGCAGCCGCAGCUACCAGCAGACCCUGACAGCCCUCAUUCAUGAGGUGAAUAUUCAGCCGUCUGAAUGGCACAGAGCCCUCCUCUUACCCCAGGCCUGGAGGGGUUUUAUGAGCCGAGCUUUCCAUGUUGUAUUACAGGGUCGACGUGCCGACUUGGAGAUAAAACAGAAGCAAGGCAAAGAGAACCCAGAGGAGCUGCAGUACAAAUGGCACUGUGCCUGGCUAUGGGCCAGAGAUCAGCUAGCAGAUGCCAUCAAAGUUGCUACAAAGGACAGUCCUGUAGUUCAGGGGAACUCCAUCCUGGCUUUGAGCGGCCUGGCAGCUGUCCUCGCCAAAUAUGAGAGCAACCUGCCUGCUGAUAGCGACGGCAGCCUCGGGGCUGGACCAGAGUUUGUGCCCACAGCCAGCUGGUUGGCCAUGGUGCUGGAGACGCUGCUCAGCAUCAUCAGCAGCAGCUAUAAGGCCAGAGGACAAGUUUUCCCAUGGUUCCUGCAUCGUUCCUACUCGGGUGAGAACACAGCGAGUGCCAUCGCUCGCUCCUGUGCCAGCCUGGCGCUCUCCUUGCUGGUUCCUGUGCUGGUGGUGUGGCAGAGGGACGGCCUGGUCCAGGUGCUGUCAGCACUGCAGGCCGGUCUGCCGGGCUCACCCACCGCUGAUGACUCCCAGGCUGUCCAGUUCCACUCCGGCCUCGCGCUGGGCAUGGUGCUGUCCAGUCUGCACCACCAACGCCUCGGCGACGUCUCUGUGCAGAAGGAUGCUAAUGUUCUUCUCAGUUCUCUGGAUGCUCUGGAGAGUUGCUCCUUCAACCCCAACCUGGAAUACAAUACUGGCUGUAUGUUGGGUCUGGGACUGGUGCUGGCAUCUCUGUGCAGAAGUGGACAGAAGGAGCAACACGUCCGUGUCACCCAAACUCUGGACAAACUACUGUCCAACCUGCAGGACAGUAGUGGACAGGGACGCAUGCUCCAGGAGGUAUUGGCGUACACUGUGGCAUGUGUGGGCAUCUCAGCUUUCGAUGCAGGCCUCAUAGAUGGUGCCAAGGCUGAGGAGGUCAUGAACACUCUGCGCACCCUGACCGAGGAGAGCCAGCAGACCCCAGGGUUCUCCCUUGCUCUAGGGUUGGUGGUCCAUGGCCUGUCACUGUCCGGUCAUGGUAAAGCGGAGGACAUCCACCCUCGACUGCUGGCUGCCUGGAUCAAGAUCUUACUGGCAGAAGGUUGUCCCACUAUGCAGCGACUGGCUGCUGUGAACGGCUUGGUGGCUUUAGUGGGAUCUGAGAGUUACCUCAUUCAGCUCAAAAGUGAUUUGGAGCUUUCCACCCAGCAGCAGAACAGACUGAAUGAGGUUAUUCGAGCCAUCACGCAAAUCAUAACAUUCUCAGGAGCCAUUGGCUUGCAGUCCAACUGCGCCUGUCUGGUGGCUCAUUUGCAUUUGGCCCACAUGUCCACCAGCCACAGUCACACAGCAGUUCCUCAGGACUUCAGUUACCUCUCAGAGAAAAGUGUCAUCAGAUCCAUCAUUGACUUCAUCUCAGAGGCUGAAAAGAAAGGUCCAGAAUUCUGUCCUCCAGCUCUGGUUAAGACUGCUCUGACCCCGCUGGCAUCAGUUGGAGCCAGUUUCCAGUACCCACCCAUUAACUGGAGCGCUGUGCUGUCUCCUCUGAUGAGGCUCAGCUUCGGAGAGGAUGUCCAGCAUCAGUGUGUGGUACUGGCAGCGUGUCAAGCUCAGUCCUCUCAGAGUGCGUCUCUUUUUCUGGGCUCCUGGCUGUCACCGCCGCUUGUGCACAGUCUCAGUCAACGGACCAGGGCUCACCUGUACGAGAACCUGGGCUUGUGGAUGAAGCACAUUGCCGAGGACAAGCUCCAGGUCUUCGCGGAGAGUCUGGGCCUGCAGCAGUUCCAGGAGGACCUUCGACCGCAGCGCCUGUCCCUGUGCCGCUCCCUUCUGCAGGGCCUCGCUCUGGCCAUGGCCCUCCCAAACCCGCCUAGUAACUGCUGGGCAAUCCUCUGUUCCACCACCGAGAAGAUCUUCACCCUCCUGCCCAACCAAAUCCAGGAUGAUGAAGUGGAUUUGUACAUGGGAGUGGCCAAAUGUCUGUCUGAGAUGUCCGAUACAGAAAUUGAUAGAAUUGCUCAAGUCACAGAGACUCAGAUGGAGAAGACGUGUUUCAUCCUGGCUUACCUGACUUCCCAAGGCAGAGUUCCCCUGCUGGGUCUCAAUGACAUCAUCGCUGGCGUGCUCCGCGGUUGGCCGAGCCAAAGAAUCGGCUGGCUCCUCCUUCAAACCUUUUAUCAGUGUCGCCUGGCCACCGGCUCCAACACAGUUGUCUCCAAACGACUGGAGUGGCUCCUGGAGCUGAUGGGCCACAUCCGAAAUGUUGCCUACGGUGCAACCUCUGUCCAAUGUGGAGACACCAGACUGGCCACAGACUUCCUGUUCCAGGUCUUUGCUGCUGCUGUAGUUUCCUGGGGUGACCAUUUCAUGCCCUUCCUGCUCGGCAUCAGGGCCCAGUGGUUACCAUGGCAUCAGGGCUCCAGGCCUCGAGCUCUACAACACAGUCUGUACGGACAGGAGUCUCUCACUGAACAUGCCCUGCCGCAGUGCCUGCUGGGAGUGCCCCACAGCUUGACUCUGCUUCUGAACAAAGAGCCCUGGAGCAGCCAGAUACAAAAGUUCAUAGACUGGUUUCUCAGCAUAACAGAAAGUCCUGAGCAGAGUGUGUCAACUGCAACCCUCAGCACAGCCAAAGCAGGCACAUGACACAGGUGACAUGAUACCUGUUCCUGUUGAGAUUAGGAAUGGCCAACUGUGGUACUUCAAUUCCUGCAGUCCAAAGUUAAACUGCUCUGUUGGCCCUGAAGUACUCUGCUGAGUUCAAGAGGAAAACUGUGUGGACCAGAGCUUAUGGCUGGUAGCCCAAUCGAGCCACAAUAUUCUGUUACAAUGGCAACACCUACGCUCUCAUGCAGAAUCCGUGCCAGAGUUCCAGCACACAAGCUGCAUCUCUCCUGCCUGAGCUUGUAGGACAUGGAUACAGUGACGGCUGUGAGGCUCACUGCAGCACCAGACUUUUAGCAUUCAUGAGCUUAGUUAGAAACUGCACUGCCACUGUAGCUCUACUCCAAUCACAUGUGAGAAAGAUGUCAAGAGGUAAGUGCUCUGUCAAACAACAUUUAAAUUAAAAGUAUCAAAACUUUUAA